RNAcentral lists this ribosomal RNA (390 nucleotides) under uncultured bacterium. RNAcentral describes it as "bacterial SSU rRNA". It matches the Rfam family "Bacterial small subunit ribosomal RNA", at positions 28 to 416 of the family's 1533-position model. The record is from RNAcentral.
GACGAACGCUGGCGGCGUGCUUAACACAUGCAAGUCGAGCGGUAAGGCCCUUUCGGGGGUACACGAGCGGCGAACGGGUGAGUAACACGUGGGUGACCUGCCCUCCAGCUCUGGGAUAAGCCUGGGAAACCGGGUCUAAUACUGGAUAUGACUCCAUGACGCAUGUUGUGGGGUGGAAAGCCUUGUGCGGCUGAGGAUGGGCCCGCGGCCUAUCAGCUUGUUGGUGGGGUGAUGGCCUACCAAGGCGACGACGGGUAGCCGGCCUGAGAGGGCGACCGGGCCACACUGGGACUGAGACACGGCCCAGACUCCUACGGGAGGCGAGCAGUGGGGAAUCUUGCGCAAUGGGCGAAAGCCUGACGCAGCGACGCCGCGUGAGGGAUGACGGCC